AACGCUAGCUACAGGCUUAACACAUGCAAGUCGAGGGGCAGCAUGGUCUUAGCUUGCUAAGGCCGAUGGCGACCGGCGCACGGGUGAGUAACACGUAUCCAACCUGCCGUCUACUCUUGGACAGCCUUCUGAAAGGAAGAUUAAUACAAGAUGGCAUCAUGAGUCCGCAUGUUCACAUGAUUAAAGGUAUUCCGGUAGACGAUGGGGAUGCGUUCCAUUAGAUAGUAGGCGGGGUAACGGCCCACCUAGUCUUCGAUGGAUAGGGGUUCUGAGAGGAAGGUCCCCCACAUUGGAACUGAGACACGGUCCAAACUCCUACGGGAGGCAGCAGUGAGGAAUAUUGGUCAAUGGGCGAGAGCCUGAACCAGCCAAGUAGCGUGAAGGAUGACUGCCCUAUGGGUUGUAAACUUCUUUUAUACGGGAAUAAAGUGAGGCACGUGUGCCUUUUUGUAUGUACCGUAUGAAUAAGGAUCGGCUAACUCCGUGCCAGCAGCCGCGGUAAUACGGAGGAUCCGAGCGUUAUCCGGAUUUAUUGGGUUUAAAGGGAGCGUAGGCGGACGCUUAAGUCAGUUGUGAAAGUUUGCGGCUCAACCGUAAAAUUGCAGUUGAUACUGGGUGUCUUGAGUACAGUAGAGGCAGGCGGAAUUCGUGGUGUAGCGGUGAAAUGCUUAGAUAUCACGAAGAACUCCGAUUG
RNAcentral lists this ribosomal RNA (694 nucleotides) under uncultured bacterium. Its description in RNAcentral is "bacterial SSU rRNA". It matches the Rfam family "Bacterial small subunit ribosomal RNA", at positions 32 to 715 of the family's 1533-position model. The record is from RNAcentral.